GGCGCACGGGUGAGUAUAGCGUUUGUAACCUACCUCUAACUGGAGAAUAGCCCGAAGAAAUUCGGAUUAAUACUCCAUAAUACUAUGAUCUGGCAUCUUUUUAUAGUUAAAGCUCCGGCGGUUAGAGAUGGGCAUGCGUGACAUUAGUUUGUUGGUGAGGUAAGAGCUCACCAAGACUACGAUGUCUAGGGGGUCUGAGAGGAUGGUCCCCCACACUGGUACUGAGACACGGACCAGACUCCUACGGGAGGCAGCAGUGAGGAAUAUUGGUCAAUGGGCGCAAGCCUGAACCAGCCAUGCCGCGUGAAGGAUGACGGCGCUAUGCGUUGUAAACUUCUUUUGUACAGGAAGAAACACUUCUACGUGUAGAAGCUUGACGGUACUGUACGAAUAAGCAUCGGCUAACUCCGUGCCAGCAGCCGCGGUAAUACGGAGGAUGCAAGCGUUAUCCGGAUUUAUUGGGUUUAAAGGGUACGUAGGCGGAAAAUUAAGUCAGUGGUGAAAUCCUGCAGCUUAACUGUAGAACUGUCAUUGAUACUGGUUUUCUUGAAUAUAGUUGAGGUAGGCGGAAUGUGUAAUGUAGCGGUGAAAUGCUUAGAUAUUACACAGAACACCGAUUGCGAAGGCAGCUUACUAAACUAUGAUUGACGCUGAGGUACGAAAGCGUGGGGAGCGAACAGGAUUAGAUACCCUGGUAGUCCACGCCGUAAACGAUGAUCACUC
This 723-nucleotide ribosomal RNA is filed under the name uncultured bacterium. Its description in RNAcentral is "bacterial SSU rRNA". It matches the Rfam family "Bacterial small subunit ribosomal RNA", at positions 97 to 818 of the family's 1533-position model. The record is from RNAcentral.